This 486-nucleotide ribosomal RNA is filed under the name Triticum aestivum (bread wheat). RNAcentral's name for it is "partial small subunit ribosomal RNA". Lineage: Eukaryota; Viridiplantae; Streptophyta; Magnoliopsida; Poales; Poaceae. The record is from RNAcentral.
AUGUGCCGCAUGUACUACCAGCACGACGACGAUGCCAGCAAUGGGAGCAGCAGUGGGGAUGACGAGAAGCAGAGCAGGGAUGACGAGGAGCAGUCUAUUCUGGCUGACGACGACCUUGCUAUGAUGGUGGCUGACGACGACCCUGCUAUGGUGCUGGCGGAUGACGACCUUGCUAUGGUGGUGGCUGACGACGACCCUGCUAUGGUGCUGGCGGAUGACGACCUUGCUAUGGUGGUGGCUGACGACGACCCUGCUAUGGUGGUGGCGGAUGACGAGCUUGCUAUGGUGGCUGAUGACGACCUCGCGAUUGUGGUGCCCAAUGAUGACCUCGCAACGGUGGUGCCUGACAAUGACCUCGGGAUGGUGGUGGCGCCUGCAAUCCCACAGCUUGGCGACAAGACCAUGCCAAUUGUGGUAGAGGAGUACAUCCACGUUGGGAUUCGCCACUCUGAGCGCAUCAGGUUGAUGAAGGAGAAGGAGGAGUGA